CGCCCGGGUAUUACGAGCUUUAGCUUAAAACCCAAAGGACUUGACGGUGUCCCAUCCACCUAGAGGAGCCUGUUCCAUCAUCGAUAAUCCCCGCUACACCUAACCACCCCUUGCCAAUCAGUCUGUAUACCUCCGUCGUAAACUUACCAUGUGAAUGCCCACAGUAAGUUUAAUGGCUAUCAACCACCAAUACGUCAGGUCAAGGUGCAGCUCAUGGGGCGGCAGGCAAUGGGCUACAAUUUCUAUUCUAGAACAGACGAAACGCUACAUGAAAUAAAGCCACGAAGGCGGAUUUAGUAGUAAAAAGAAAAUAGCGCGUUCUUUUUAAUUAGGCCCUGGGACGUGUACACACCGCCCGUCGCCCUCUUCAACAGUAACUUAAUAAAUUUUUAAUUAUCCAAUACACCUUAGAAGAGGUAAGUCGUAACAUGGUAAGUGUACCGGAAGGUGCACUUGGAUUAA
RNAcentral lists this ribosomal RNA (462 nucleotides) under Quasipaa boulengeri (spiny-bellied frog). Its description in RNAcentral is "partial 12S ribosomal RNA". It matches the Rfam family "Bacterial small subunit ribosomal RNA", at positions 870 to 1533 of the family's 1533-position model. Lineage: Eukaryota; Metazoa; Chordata; Amphibia; Anura; Dicroglossidae. The record is from RNAcentral.